Molecule: long non-coding RNA, 543 nt
Organism: Lemur catta (Ring-tailed lemur)
Lineage: Eukaryota; Metazoa; Chordata; Mammalia; Primates; Lemuridae
Exons: 3
Source: RefSeq, a predicted model, not a curated record
GGCGCCUGAAAGGCCCGUGGAUCCGAGACUGGGGUUGAGUCCUUGGGUCUUUUCAGUGCUGUGGGAGGAAAACAGGAAGGAGCCCAGCGCCACUCGCAGAGGAUCCCGGAACCUGUCUGUGCAAAGUGUGCAGCGAGCCGGGUCUCUUUGUGGGUUCUGAAAUGAGCUUUGAGGAGAAUUCUGUUGCAGAGGAGGGGGCCCACAGCUAUUUGAAACACAAUCCUGGAGCUCCCUAUUCCCAUCCAGUGACAAACACACCCUGGUGACGGUGGCCGGACAUUGAGGAUGUGCUGAGCGCCAGCCUUCCUUGAGGAUGGUGCUGCACUCACUUUCUGUGCACGCGGGCUGUGCACACAGGCCUGUGGUUCUUCCACUGCAAACUUGGAGACAAAGAGGAUUUGGACCUGGGAGUUUUUGGAUUGUCCAAGUACCACACACCCCAAACCACCCUGGGAAGGGUGGGAGCGCCCUGGAAGCAAAUGGGUUAAUGUUUCAUAGUGAAACUAAGUCAGAUAAAUAAAGCCUCAGUGCAUUCAGGUCAAA